RNAcentral lists this ribosomal RNA (496 nucleotides) under Fusarium proliferatum. RNAcentral's name for it is "eukaryotic LSU rRNA". The stretch from base 117 to 270 matches the Rfam family "5.8S ribosomal RNA". The record is from RNAcentral. Lineage: Eukaryota; Fungi; Ascomycota; Sordariomycetes; Hypocreales; Nectriaceae.
UACCAAUUGUUGCCUCGGCGGAUCAGCCCGCUCCCGGUAAAACGGGACGGCCCGCCAGAGGACCCCUAAACUCUGUUUCUAUAUGUAACUUCUGAGUAAAACCAUAAAUAAAUCAAAACUUUCAACAACGGAUCUCUUGGUUCUGGCAUCGAUGAAGAACGCAGCAAAAUGCGAUAAGUAAUGUGAAUUGCAGAAUUCAGUGAAUCAUCGAAUCUUUGAACGCACAUUGCGCCCGCCAGUAUUCUGGCGGGCAUGCCUGUUCGAGCGUCAUUUCAACCCUCAAGCCCCCGGGUUUGGUGUUGGGGAUCGGCGAGCCCUUGCGGCAAGCCGGCCCCGAAAUCUAGUGGCGGUCUCGCUGCAGCUUCCAUUGCGUAGUAGUAAAACCCUCGCAACUGGUACGCGGCGCGGCCAAGCCGUUAAACCCCCAACUUCUGAAUGUUGACCUCGGAUCAGGUAGGAAUACCCGCUGAACUUAAGCAUAUCAAUAAGCGGAGGA